CAACCCUCAAGCUCUGCUUGGUAUUGGAUGUCACUUAGCAUGGUGCAUCUUAAAAUCAGUGGCAGUGCUAUCCUGCUUCCAAGUGUAGUAAUAUUUCUCGCUUUGGAUGUUUAGGUGUGUGCUUGCCAACAACCCUCUAAUUUAUCAA
RNAcentral lists this unclassified non-coding RNA (148 nucleotides) under uncultured Helotiales. Its description in RNAcentral is "sequence contains ITS2". Lineage: Eukaryota; Fungi; Ascomycota; Leotiomycetes; Helotiales. The record is from RNAcentral.